Molecule: long non-coding RNA, 655 nt
Filed under: Coturnix japonica (Japanese quail)
Lineage: Eukaryota; Metazoa; Chordata; Aves; Galliformes; Phasianidae
Description: lncRNA (ENSCJPG00005002192.1)
Source: RNAcentral
CCCGUUCUCUUGAUUGCCGCUUUCUCUUCCAUCUUUCCCUUCCCCUUCCUUUUACUUUUCCCUUCUGUUUCUUCCCUUACUUCCCUUCUUUUUUGGGAAGCUGUAUUUAUCUUGUAUUUACUUUUGUAUUUAUCUUACGCCUUUUUAGAGGUUGUGCCUGCUUCUGCUGGCUUCCCAAAAAAGGAACAAGGAGCUCUACAGUAGAGCCUGGAAGCGUGAGGUGGCUGGGCGCGCCUCUGCCCCGUGCCUGUGCUCCUUCCUUCCCCCUGAAAACAUCACCACAUGAGAUUUUGAUAGGAUUCUUUUUACUCUAUUUGUUUUUCUUUUCCUUCCAUCUUUUCUGUUCUCCUUUCUCUUUUUCUUCCCUAUUUAAUUUUCAUUUUCUGUUUACUUCCCCCUUUUCUUCCCUCUUUCUUCUUGCUCUUUCUUUUUCAUCCCCUUUAUGUUUCCGUUUCCCUUCCUCUUUCCCUUUCCCUUCCACUUCCCCUUUCUCUUUCCCUUUCCCUUCCCCUUUCCCUUUUCCUUCCCUUUUCUCUUUCCUUUCCCUUUUUGUUUCCCCUUCCCUUCCCUUCUUUUCCUUCCAAGAAGCUGUAUUUAUCUUGUAUUUACUUAUGUAUUUAUCUUACUUUGAUAUGUUACGUGCACUGCUUUUGCU